GAACUCGACUUGCUUGAUCUGGGCGUCGCCGGCGUAGGGUCCGACGACGAUGUUGGAGGCGGGGAGGAGCAUGGAGGGGGUGACGUCAUCGCGGGAGACGCCGGGGGGAAUGAAGAGGGCGGUGCGGAGGAAAGGGGGAGGGGAGGCGGCGGCGGCGGAGGGUUUGAGGGGAGGAGGCGUGGUGGGGCUCUGUCGGGCGGCGGAGCAAGAGAUGUGGCGG
RNAcentral lists this unclassified non-coding RNA (220 nucleotides) under Hevea brasiliensis (rubber tree). The record is from RNAcentral. Lineage: Eukaryota; Viridiplantae; Streptophyta; Magnoliopsida; Malpighiales; Euphorbiaceae.